UGGGGAAUUUUGGACAAUGGGCGAAAGCCUGAUCCAGCAAUGCCGCGUGUGUGAAGAAGGCCUUCGGGUUGUAAAGCACUUUUGUCCGGAAAGAAAUCCUUGGCUCUAAUACAGUCGGGGGAUGACGGUACCGGAAGAAUAAGCACCGGCUAACUACGUGCCAGCAGCCGCGGUAAUACGUAGGGUGCAAGCGUUAAUCGGAAUUACUGGGCGUAAAGCGUGCGCAGGCGGUUUGCUAAGACCGAUGUGAAAUCCCCGGGCUCAACCUGGGAACUGCAUUGGUGACUGGCAGGCUAGAGUAUGGCAGAGGGGGGUAGAAUUCCACGUGUAGCAGUGAAAUGCGUAGAGAUGUGGAGGAAUACCGAUGGCGAAGGCAGCCCCCUGGGCCAAUACUGACGCUCAUGCACGAAAAGCGUGGGGAGCAAAACAGGAUUAGAUACCCUGGUAGUCCACGCCCUAAACGAUGUCAACUAGUUGUUGGGGAUUCAUUUCCUUAGUAACUAGCUAACGCGUGAAGUUGACCGCCUGGGGGAGUAGGUCGCAAGAUUAAAACUUAAAGGAAUUG
RNAcentral lists this ribosomal RNA (565 nucleotides) under uncultured bacterium. Its description in RNAcentral is "partial 16S ribosomal RNA". It matches the Rfam family "Bacterial small subunit ribosomal RNA", at positions 355 to 912 of the family's 1533-position model. The record is from RNAcentral.